UNCCACGUGUAGCAGUGAAAUGCGUAGAGAUGUGGAGGAAUACCGAUGGCGAAGGCAGCCCCCUGGGAUAAUACUGACGUUCAUGCUCGAAAGCGUGGGUAGCGAACAGGAUUAGAUACCCUGGUAGUCCACGCCCUAAACGAUGUCAAUUAGCUGUUGGGGCACUUGAUGCCUUAGUAGCGAAGCUAACGCGUGAAAUUGACCGCCUGGGGAGUACGGUCGCAAGAUUAAAACUCAAAGGAAUUGACGGGGACCCGCACAAGCGGUGGAUGAUGUGGAUUAAUUCGAUGCAACGCGAAGAACCUUACCUGGUCUUGACAUGUACGGAAUCUUCCAGAGACGGAAGAGUGCCUUCGGGAGCCGUAACACAGGUGCUGCAUGGCUGUCGUCAGCUCGUGUCGUGAGAUGUUGGGUUAAGUCCCGCAACGAGCGCAACCCUUGUCAUUAGUUGCCACCAUUCAGUUGGGCACUCUAAUGAGACUGCCGGUGACAAACCGGAGGAAGGUGGGGAUGACGUCAAGUCCUCAUGGCCCUUAUGACCAGGGCUUCACACGUCAUACAAUGGUCGGUACAGAGGGUAGCCAAGCCGCGAGGUGGAGCCAAUCUCAGAAAACCGAUCGUAGUCCGGAUUGCACUCUGCAACUCGAGUGCAU
This 653-nucleotide ribosomal RNA is filed under the name uncultured bacterium. Its description in RNAcentral is "bacterial SSU rRNA". It matches the Rfam family "Bacterial small subunit ribosomal RNA", at positions 667 to 1321 of the family's 1533-position model. The record is from RNAcentral.